UGAACGCGAAGAACCUUACCUGGGCUUGACAUGUAAUGAACAACAUGUGAAAGCAUGCGACUCUUCGGAGGCGUUACACAGGUGCUGCAUGGCCGUCGUCAGCUCGUGUCGUGAGAUGUUUGGUUAAGUCCAGCAACGAGCGCAACCCCUGUUGCCAGUUACCAGCACGUGAAGGUGGGGACUCUGGCGAGACUGCCCAGAUCAACUGGGAGGAAGGUGGGGACGACGUCAGGUCAGUAUGGCCCUUAUGCCCAGGGCUGCACACGUACUACAAUGCCCAGUACAGAGGGGGCCGAAGCCGCGAGGCGGAGGAAAUCCUAAAAACUGGGCCCAGUUCGGACUGUAGGCUGCAACCCGCCUACACGAAGCCGGAAUCGCUAGUAAUGGGGCAUCAGCUACGGCGCCGUGAAUACGUUCCCGGGUCUUGUACACUCCG
This 436-nucleotide ribosomal RNA is filed under the name uncultured bacterium. RNAcentral's name for it is "bacterial SSU rRNA". It matches the Rfam family "Bacterial small subunit ribosomal RNA", at positions 956 to 1392 of the family's 1533-position model. The record is from RNAcentral.